GCAGCAGCCGCGGUAAUACGAAGGGUGCAAGCGUUAAUCGGAAUUACUGGGCGUAAAGCGUGCGUAGGCGGUGAGUUAAGUCUGCUGUGAAAUCCCCGGGCUCAACCUGGGAAUGGCAGUGGAUACUGGCUCGCUAGAGUGUGUCAGAGGAUGGUGGAAUUCCCGGUGUAGCGGUGAAAUGCGUAGAGAUCGGGAGGAACAUCAGUGGCGAAGGCGGCCAUCUGGGACAACACUGACGCUGAAGCACGAAAGCGUGGGGAGCAAACAGGAUUAGAUACCCCCGUAGUCCCUGUCUCUUAUAC
RNAcentral lists this ribosomal RNA (302 nucleotides) under uncultured bacterium. RNAcentral's name for it is "partial 16S ribosomal RNA". It matches the Rfam family "Bacterial small subunit ribosomal RNA", at positions 508 to 807 of the family's 1533-position model. The record is from RNAcentral.